UACAGGGGGGGCAAGCGUUGUUCGGAAUUACUGGGCGUAAAGGGCCAGUAGGUGGCCAACUAAGUCCGACGUGAAAUCCCCAGGCUUAACCUGGGAACUGCGUCGGAUACUGGAUGGCUUGAAUCCGGGAGAGGGAUGCAGAAUUCCAGGUGUAGCGGUGAAAUGCGUAGAUAUCUGGAGGAAUACCGGUGGCGAAGGCGGCAUCCUGGACCGGCAUUGACGCUGAAGCGCGAAAGCUAGGGGAGCAAACGGG
This 253-nucleotide ribosomal RNA is filed under the name uncultured bacterium. RNAcentral describes it as "partial 16S ribosomal RNA". It matches the Rfam family "Bacterial small subunit ribosomal RNA", at positions 524 to 776 of the family's 1533-position model. The record is from RNAcentral.